GAUGAACGCUGGCGGCGUGCCUAAUACAUGCAAGUCGAGCGAACAGACGAGGAGCUUGCUCCUCUGACGUUAGCGGCGGACGGGUGAGUAACACGUGGAUAACCUACCUAUAAGACUGGGAUAACUUCGGGAAACCGGAGCUAAUACCGGAUAAUAUAUUGAACCGCAUGGUUCAAUAGUGAAAGACGGUUUUGCUGUCACUUAUAGAUGGAUCCGCGCCGCAUUAGCUAGUUGGUAAGGUAACGGCUUACCAAGGCAACGAUGCGUAGCCGACCUGAGAGGGGGACCGCCCACACGGGAACGGAAACCGGGCCAAGACUCCGGGGGGGGGAGCCAGAGGGGAUUUUUCAGAAAGGGGCAAAGCCCGGAGGGAGAACCGCCGCGGGGUGAAUAAAGUUUUCGGAAUCAAAAAACGUUUUUAUUGGGAAAAACAAAAUGUGAAAUAACAAUGGCACGCCUGGAGGGACCCUAAUAAGAAGCCCCCGCCUAACUCGGUC
Molecule: ribosomal RNA, 497 nt
Filed under: uncultured bacterium
Lineage: Bacteria
Description: partial 16S ribosomal RNA
Rfam family: Bacterial small subunit ribosomal RNA
Source: RNAcentral